GUGACGUAGGUGUUAAACGGCCGCGGUAUUAUGACCGUGCAAAGGUAGCAUAAUCAUUAGUCUUUUAAUUGAGGACUGGUAUGAAGGGUUUGACGGAGAUUUUCUUUUUUAGGUGAUGUAAGUUGAAUUUUAAUUUAGUGUGAAGAUGCACUAAUGGAUUUAAAAGACGAGAAGACCCUAUUAAGCUUUAAAUGUAGUUAAGGUAGUAUGUGUUAGUUAUAUAUUAAUGAUUUUUUGUUGGGGCGACAGAUAUUUAAGUUUAAAACUUAUUUAUAUAUUUAGACAUUGGUGAGUGGAUUUUUAGAGAUGUUUGAUCCAUAUAAUAUAUGAUAAUAAGAUGAAGUUACUGUAGGGAUAACAGCGUAAUUAAAACGGAGAGUACAUAUUGAUGUUAUAGAUUGCGACCUCGAUGUUGAAUCAGGAUAUUUAUGAAGCUGCAGGAGGCUUAUAAAAUAGUCUGUUCGACUAUUAAAUUCCUACG
RNAcentral lists this ribosomal RNA (481 nucleotides) under Stigmatogaster gracilis. RNAcentral's name for it is "partial large subunit ribosomal RNA". It matches the Rfam family "Bacterial large subunit ribosomal RNA", at positions 1908 to 2600 of the family's 2925-position model. Lineage: Eukaryota; Metazoa; Arthropoda; Chilopoda; Geophilomorpha; Himantariidae. The record is from RNAcentral.